Molecule: unclassified non-coding RNA, 3682 nt
Filed under: Hevea brasiliensis (rubber tree)
Lineage: Eukaryota; Viridiplantae; Streptophyta; Magnoliopsida; Malpighiales; Euphorbiaceae
Source: RNAcentral
ACAGGUUUGAUUAGUACUCCAAAAUUACACUUUUUUUACCAUCUACUAGCCUUAACAACCACAAGUUCAUCAGCAAUCAACACGUUAUUUGGUAUGAUAUAUCUAUCUUUUUCUUUUUUAAAAAUCCAUUUAGAAACCAUCAUAUUAUGUACAGCCACUAUUCUCUAGAAAUCCCUAAGUUCUGGGGACUUUCAAUGUACAGACAACCAAAACUCCUGAUCAAUGUAAUUUUGCUACACUAAAUUUAGCAGACUACUGACUCCACAACUGCACAAAAAAGGGCCUAGUCUUCUAUGGACCCAAAAAAUAAAGACUUGAAAUGAAUGAAUUGAUAAGCACAUUCUUAAACCAAGUGACUUUUAAAUUCAGCUUUUUCUACGGUUAUUAGCUUUUCUUGCACUCUUGGAAUUGGUCCCUGAAGAAGACUCCACAGAUAUUGGCAAGACGGUUCCAUCCUUGAUUUCAUUUGAUGUUGACACCUGCUCCAUUGUUCUUCCUGAUUCCAGAUACACCAUUAAGUCUCUAAGCUGUUCUUCCAGGUCAUGAAUUUUAUCAUCUUUCAUUUUCAGAGCUUUUUUCUCCCUGGAAACAUUUGAACCCAAGGUAAUACCCAGUGCAAAGUACAAAAGAAAUAAAGCAGUGUAAAAAUGUUAUUAAGCAGGUAAGUUUACAUAUAUUUAGCAGUACUCUAAAUUUCUGAAGAAUAAAUGUUAAUAAGACAUCAAGAAUGUGUUCACAGAUGGUCCAGCUUCCCAGUUUUCUACAACAAAUGUUUCCAAAAUUUUGACUUUACAUGUGACUAAUUGAACUUGUAAAUUGGGAUGGCAUGCUAACACACAACAGUUACAAAGAGGAAAAUACGGGAGGACUGAAGUUGGUUUAGAACAAGGCCAUAAUUAAUGUCCAUUACCCACACUAUGUGGCAUUCAAACCAAAAAUAGAUCAUUUCAAAUGGAACCACUAUGCCAGUAGGUUAAUAGUCUAACAGUCAAGUGCAUAGAAAUUCAAUCCUGGUGGACCCUCUCCAUUAAAAGUUCCAUAUGUACCAAAAAUAGAAACCACUACAGAAAUGUAGGAAAUGCAAUUGUACAAAUUAUGGUGAGAAUUCAAAAACAUCCCCCAGAAAUCAUCAGUGCCAUAGCAAUGACUCCUAUAAACUAUUAUAGAACUUUUUCGUGCAUUCUUUUUAAAGCACAAUGGCAUGAACUCAAUGCAACAUCCAAACACAGGUUAAAGCCUUUUUGUCACAACCCAUACAUACCUCUCCUCAAUCUCCAAUAUCUUUGCUUUCCAUAUCUCCUGAUUUUUCAAAAGAUUCUCAUUGAGUUCAUCAAGAAAUUUCUUCUCUUUGAGACACCUAUCCAGCUUAGCCUGCAACUUUUGCAACUUUUGUGCAACAGCCUUCUUGACUGCUUCUGAAAUUUCCCUUUCAGUUUCUUCAUUGACUUCUUGAAGCAAAGUCUCAAAAUAUAGUUUCUGGUUCUCAAGUUGGGUGGCUAGGAGCUCAUUGUAUUCAUUAACAAUCGCUUCAACUUUGCCGUUCAAAAGAGCAUCACUAACUCCAGACUUUAAACAAACACAACUUCCACAACCGUCAUUACCAUGCACACAAUGGGAAUUCAAUUCAACUAAUUUUCCAUCAGUUUUUGAUUGAAUCAGUCGGUGCACAUAAUUGUCACCAACAUAAUCCCAAACACGUUGUGUUUCCAGUUCAAGUGAAUAGCAAUGUUGUGUUUCUUUCCAAUGUCUUGUGGCAUGUCCUCCUUUGUAACUCCCACAGCCAACAAAACCACAGAUAACACAGAGCCAUAGAUUAUCUGAAGUUUGACAUACAAAACAUAUUGAUUUUUCAGGUUGUUGCUGGCAGUAUCGGCAAACUGGACAAGAAGAAUCUUCCCAUUUUGAAAUGCAUGAGCAGUGAAAAGAAUGAUUACAGAUAGUUGUGAGAAUUCCACCCAUGUCUUGGUCUAAUUUCUCAAGACAAACAGGACAUGAAGGCUGCUCAGUUGUGCUUGCCGGGGAAGGCUGAGUGUCAAGUGAACCACUAUAACCAGUGAACUGUACAUCAACUAUAAAAAGCAAGCGGCAAACAUCUUCCUCCAAAGAAUUAAAUUGUCUACCAUUAAAAUGUUGAUAGAAUCUAUCUGUAGAGUCCUGACUGUCAAAUCUUAUCAGGAUGCUAUAUUGCUCCUCCAUCCCAUCAUUCCUACCAAAUAAAGUAACAAAAUCAGUACUAUCUAACAUACAUGCACAAACACACACAACAAAAUAAAAAAGAGGAGGGGGGUGCCAGUGUCGAGAAACAAUAAGUGGUUGCUCAUGAAAUUAACAACUGAAUGAAAGCAAAGACUAUUAUAAGUUAUUCUUUGUUUGGACAUCAAAAUAUCAUCGUUCCACAUUUCUUUGACUUUGAAUGUAUCUACAAUAAAACCAAGAUCUAGAUACACCACUCAUCAGAAUUCAUUCAAAUUUCAAAGUUUAGUUUAAUUGCACACCUUGGCAGACCAGCAAGAUUACACAACGUAGAAGAUCAUUGGAUGCAGGAUCUAUAUGAGCAGCACACAGGUUUAAUCAUAUAUCUGAUCAAGUCACACACUUGGGUUAAAUUAUUAAUUACUGCACUUUCUGAACAUAGGAAGAAUCUCAACAUUGGAUGCUGAAAAUGAGAGCCUUGUAAUUAGGCCAUAACAGGAUUAUUAGGUAUCUAAUAUAUAUUUUUAUUAUUGAUGACCCUAGUUACAUAAACAUGUAAAAUGAGCUUCUUCGUCUCUUUCUUGCCCUAUGUUUCCUAGGAUUAAAGCCAGUUUUUUUUACCUUCGCUCCCUCUUCCUUUUGUUUCCCUUGCCCAUCAAUUCUUCUUUCCUUCCAAAGCUUCCAAUGUUGCUUUACACUUAGAUAAUACUCCAAAAUCAUUUAUCCAAUUUAUGCACCCUACCCCAUUUAUAACAUCUACCAAUUUGACCUUCCUUACAAAAAUUUUUCAAAGGACACCAUUCUCUAUCUAGGAUCUCUUUACCUUCAACUGACCUGCAUUUAGAUUCCAAAUUUCAUACUUUAGUCUUACUUAAGUUAAUGUCCCUUUAAUGUCAGGAUAUUGCAUCACAAUUCCCCAACUUGAAAUUGGCCCUUCUCUUAAUUUCUCUACCAAAACUAUAUUAUCAUUACCUAUAGUUAUUUCAGGUAUUUCUCCCAAUUAUGUCUGAUGCCGCAAGACUCCAAGUAAAACUAUAGCACUACUCACAAUAUUUUUACCUGACUAUUCUCAUCUCCAAUAUAUGGUGAAGAAAAGAAGCGCAAAACUGGCAGAAAUCUGCAUAAGUCAUGUGAUUUGGCACCCCAAGAACUGACAAAGAAGGUUUUCUUCCCACGGGAAGACCGGAAACCCCAUCAUUGGAGAAGAGGUGCAUGACGCCUCGUGUCUCUUCGAUCCUAAGGUUUCCAGAUGAGAAAGGAAAGGCCUGCGUCAUUGGAGACGAUGAAGACGUGGAGGAGUCGCAAUAAUCUCCAGUGAUCAUCGCUUCCGAUUCCCGGAAAUGAUCCUUCGGCGUAGUUACAGAGACUACUGUGCUUGAGCUCGGAGACAUAUCGGUUAGAUUCGAUUAAAAACGAAAGAUCAUUCGCGCGGUUUGGCAGCGGAUAAAGAUAAUAUAACGCAGACAGUCCCAUACCAAGCCACGCCGAG